This 389-nucleotide RNase P RNA is filed under the name Chlamydiia bacterium. Its description in RNAcentral is "RNase P RNA component class A". It matches the Rfam family "Bacterial RNase P class A". From Rfam's summary of the family: Ribonuclease P (RNase P) is a ubiquitous endoribonuclease, found in archaea, bacteria and eukarya as well as chloroplasts and mitochondria. Its best characterised activity is the generation of mature 5'-ends of tRNAs by cleaving the 5'-leader elements of precursor-tRNAs. The record is from RNAcentral. Lineage: Bacteria; Pseudomonadati; Chlamydiota; Chlamydiia.
GGGGGAAGAGAAGGCUCUCGCUGCCCCGGCUUGCCGGGGGAGAGGAAAGUCUGGACUUCAGAAGAGAGGAUACCGGCGAAAGGCCGGGGGCCGAGGAAACACUUUUGUUUUCGAAGGCUACGGAAAGUGCAACAGAAAGUAUUCCGGCUCUCCUUAGGGAGGGCACAGGGUGAAAUGCCCGUUUUAAGAGCGGGCUGUACCUCGGGCAACCGGGGACAACGGCAAACCCUAUCCGAAGCAAGAUUAAAGCGCUGCGAUACCGAACUCUCCGGUGCAGCGGACAAUAUCGCUUGAGGGUAUCGGCAACGAUACUCCUAGACGAAUGAGAGUCGUCUUCGCCCCUUUCGGGGGGCAAGAAACAGAAUCCGGCUUACCCUCUUCCCCCACUU